UAGGGAAUCUUCCACAAUGGACGCAAGUCUGAUGGAGCAACGCCGCGUGAGUGAAGAAGGUCUUCGGAUCGUAAAGCUCUGUUGUUGAUGAAGAAGGAUAGAGGCAGUAACUGGUCUUUAUUUGACGGUAAUCAACCAGAAAGUCACGGCUAACUACGUGCCAGCAGCCGCGGUAAUACGUAGGUGGCAAGCGUUGUCCGGAUUUAUUGGGCGUAAAGCGAGCGC
This 225-nucleotide ribosomal RNA is filed under the name uncultured bacterium. RNAcentral describes it as "partial 16S ribosomal RNA". It matches the Rfam family "Bacterial small subunit ribosomal RNA", at positions 355 to 572 of the family's 1533-position model. The record is from RNAcentral.